AUCUGGUUGACGAGUCCAAAAUAGGACGAAACUCGCGUCCUAGAU
Molecule: non-coding RNA, 45 nt
Filed under: Schistosoma mansoni
Lineage: Eukaryota; Metazoa; Platyhelminthes; Trematoda; Strigeidida; Schistosomatidae
Source: RNAcentral